RNAcentral lists this long non-coding RNA (2968 nucleotides) under Oryza sativa (Asian cultivated rice). RNAcentral's name for it is "long non-coding RNA (OSAT_LNC001318)". Lineage: Eukaryota; Viridiplantae; Streptophyta; Magnoliopsida; Poales; Poaceae. The record is from RNAcentral.
UUGGGCUAAUGCAGAGAAGGACUCAUCUGCUGUAGCAAGAGCCAAUGCAGAGGAUCCGACCUCUCCCACCUCUCCUCUUGCUUGUGGAUGGCUAUCCUCCCACCGGAUCUGAACAUCCCUAGCUUGGAGGCUCAUGAUCUAGCCACCAAAUCCCGCCACCGCAGGAGGCCGCCCUAGCCACUGCCAUGAAGUGGAGCGGCUGCUUCGACCUUACCCCCGACAAGGCGCGAUGGUAGCGGCAAUAGCCAUGGAGCUCGAAAGGUGCCACCUCCACGCUGACGGAAGCGGCUUUCCCUUCCCAGUCAUUGGAGCGCAAUGGAGCUCAACAUGCUAAAAUCUCAGGUAUGCUUCAUCUACAAGCAAGAUUCCUUCAUCGCACUCCUUGGAAUUCUUCAUUCUUUCACUGAUGGCGCGUCAAGAUGGCCAAAGCCAAUAUGCAACCGUAUGUUUAGCUGUCCAAUAUUUAUCACCAUAGGUUGUGCAUGUUAGGUGUUUGAUAAAUUGCUUGAAUAGAUAUACUAGGCAAGGUUGGUGAUAGGGAUAUACCAAUUGCAAAAAAUCAAGAAUUUUGCCUCUUCGUAUAUAUAUGCAGUAAUGAAGGUUGCUACUUGAAAAUCCAAAGUACAUUCUUUGCUAAUUUUCUGUUAUUGAAGCUACCCAAUAGCCUAAUUAGAAAAAAAAAUGGAUAAUGACAUGUAUCUGCUAUCUGCUAUUCUGCUAUUCUGCAUUCCGGUAGUAUGUACAACAGUCAACAGAUACUAUCUGCAAAAAAGAUCCAUGGCCUUCUGAGGCAGAUAAGACUAAAGCCAAUGGCUUUCAAUUGAUAUUAUUUAGAAAUUUAUGUUUGGUUGAUGUAACUUAUGGUCUGAUGGAUUUAACUAGAUACAAAACUUAAAACUGAUGUCCCUCAAGUCAACUUCUCAGCUCAGAAUCUUUGCAUUUAUUUCUUAAUACUAAAUUCAUGGAUUAAGAGCAAAUCCAUCAAAAAAAUUCCAACAAUUCCUUAGGAGGGAUUGGCCGGUUAGGCUAGGCGGCUAGCAUUGUUUGAUGUGUAGAUCAGAGUGGCCCAUGUUAUGCCUUAUAAUUACCAUAACUUUGCACGAAUGACCUUAGGAGCAAGUCUUGAUGUGCAUAUUUUUUUGUUAUAACUUACAUGCUCUGUUCAUACAAUGAAUUAAAGCUUAACUUUUUCUAUGCAUCAAUUGAUUGAUUACUUAAUGUUCAAUUAAUGGAGUGCUACCAUCAUUUCAGAAUUGCAGAAUGGAUCGUUUAUAUAUCUUAUUUUCCUCUUUCCAAAAGACAAUAAUUAAGUUGUGAGGGUGACAUUGCUUUGAACAUAAUCCAUGGCAAAAUAUAUCUCAUACUGCAAAUGAUUUUAUAAGGAAAUGUCAUGGCAUUCUCAAAUUGGUUUUAAAGUUAGUUGCCCUCAUGCAUAGUUUGUUUCUCAAAUUAUUGAAGAGCCACAAACAUUUUGAUUUGUCGACUGAUUUAUAUGUUUAUACCAGGACGCCUUUGGGACUAUGCUCUGUCAUUUAUGAUUCAAGGUGAAACCGGGUGAUUCUCCGAGGACAAGAUUGCUGAUUUUAGUGAAAUAUUCAAGGCAAUAGAAUGCAAAAAUAUUCAAGGAAUGCCGAUCUCCCUCCCCACUCGUUUCCUCCACAAAUUGAAUGCAAAAAUAGGUUCCUAUCCUCCUCCUCAUCAAUUCCCCCACGUUUUGCCCUCUUAAUUCGUCCUUUAAUCAUCAAAUUUAGUCUCCAAUGAACUGCCGCCAUUGAUGGCAGCCCGGCGAACUCUCCGGCCGUUCUCCUCCUCUCCCCGGCCAUCCGCCUCCUCCACCCCGGCCUAUAAAAAGGAGUACCGACCCCCCCCUCUCUCCCCACACUGCAGCCCUCCCCCUCCUCUCUCCCUAGCUGCCGCGUUGCCUUCUUCUCGUGUCGUCGCUGCUGUGCAACUCCGGCCGCCCCUCGCCGACAGUUGGGACCUCCUCGGAGCCCAGCAUCGCCACCAUCCGCUUCGCAGCAACCUCCUCUUCCCCAGCCUCGCCUCCGUUUCUCCUGGAGACCGCCGGAAGCUCGUCCUCGCUGGUGAGCAGUGGUGACGUCGCCUUCAUCCUCGUCCUCCGGCAGCCCUCCCUCCUCGCUGGAGGAUUGCCUCACUGCGCUGUCAAUGCUGUUGGCGUCAUCUCGUUGUCUUCAUCAUCGGUCGUGCCUCCUCGCUGCCCAAAGACUCCCGUAGCGCCGCCCCGUUGCUAUUGCCUCCCUCCUGUCGUCGUUCCCGUCAAGACGAAGUGCCGCCUGUCGUCGGUGUCAAGUCCGCAGCGCCAAGCCCGUCGUUGUCCGCCUUUUCACCAAGCUCGAGGAUUGCUGGAGCCGUCCCCUCGUCGUUGACCCGUUCCUCUCUGUCGCCCUUCGUCGCCGCGCCAAGGUUUUCGCCGGUCGCCACCGUUGUUCCCUUGCCGCGUUGUGUCCAUGGUGAGAACCUCUUCCGUCGCUACCCUAUCCUCGUCCUCCCCGUGUGGUCGCCGCGUGGAUUGCCCACGUGUGCAGCUCACGUGGUAGUCCCGGCUGCCAAUCGCUCGAUCCUUUCUUUCUUCGAGCGAUAUUUCAUUGCACAUAAUUUAAUAGUAUAAUAAUAAUAAUAAUUAAACAACUCGAAAAUAUCCACUUUAAUUGCACUUAAAAUUCGGAUGGUCGUUUCUCGGCCAUACGAGCUCCUAAUUGACCCGUCGAAAUUGUUUAAUUUUUGUUAUAGCUUGAAGAACCCGUGUUUGUUAUUUUUAUAUGUUGUUAUCGUUUCUUUCUUAGAUUUGUAGCCCUGUUUUGUUGAUCGUGUAGCUGUCGUCAUUUCGGAAGUUUCUGAAGUGCAGAUCAAGUCAUCUAAAGACCUUCUCUUUGAGCAAGGCAAGUCAUGCCAUAUUCCUUGAACAUAGUGAAUCCCAUUAUUGCAAAAACUACGUUGUUUCACUUCU